Molecule: ribosomal RNA, 421 nt
Filed under: uncultured bacterium
Lineage: Bacteria
Description: bacterial SSU rRNA
Rfam family: Bacterial small subunit ribosomal RNA
Source: RNAcentral
AGAGUUUGAUCCUGGCUCAGAUUGAACGCUGGCGGCAUGCUUUACACAUGCAAGUCGAGCGGCAGCGCGGGGGCAACUCUGGCGGCGAGCGGCGGACGGGUGAGUAAUGCAUCGGAACGUAUCCCGUAGUGGGGGACAACCCAGCGAAAGCUGGGCUAAUACCGCAUAUGCUCCACGGAGGAAAGGGGGGGAUCCGCAAGGACCUCCUGCUAUGGGAGCGGCCGAUGUCCGAUUAGCUAGUUGGUGGGGUAAAGGCUUACCAAGGCGACGAUCGGUAGCUGGUCUGAGAGGAUGAUCAGCCACACUGGGACUGAGACACGGCCCAGACUCCUACGGGAGGCAGCAGUGGGGAAUUUUGGACAAUGGGGGCAACCCUGAUCCAGCCAUGCCGCGUGCGGGAAGAAGGCCUUCGGGUUGUAAA